This is a small nuclear RNA of Pteronotus mesoamericanus, 116 nucleotides long. RefSeq annotates it as U5 spliceosomal RNA. NCBI's taxonomy places the organism in Eukaryota, Metazoa, Chordata, Mammalia, Chiroptera, Mormoopidae. The transcript has a single exon. The record is from RefSeq and is a predicted model, not a curated record.
AUACUCUGGUUUCUCUUCAGAUCAUAUAAAUCUUUUGCCUUUUACUAAAGAUUUCCAUGCAGGGGAACAAUUCUGUGUGUUUACUUAAUUUUUUGAGGCCCUGCUUUGGCAAGGCU